AGUAACGCGUGGGAACGUACCCAGAUCUAAGGAAUAGCCACUGGAAACGGUGAGUAAUACCUUAUACGCCCUUCGGGGGAAAGAUUUAUCGGAUUUGGAUCGGCCCGCGUUAGAUUAGGUAGUUGGUGGGGUAAUGGCCUACCAAGCCUACGAUCUAUAGCUGGUUUUAGAGGAUGAUCAGCAACACUGGGACUGAGACACGGCCCAGACUCCUACGGGAGGCAGCAGUGGGGAAUCUUAGACAAUGGGCGCAAGCCUGAUCUAGCCAUGCCGCGUGAGUGAUGAAGGCCUUAGGGUCGUAAAGCUCUUUCGCCUGUGAUGAUAAUGACAGUAGCAGGUAAAGAAACCCCGGCUAACUCCGUGCCAGCAGCCGCGGUAAUACGGAGGGGGUUAGCGUUGUUCGGAAUUACUGGGCGUAAAGCGCACGUAGGCGGAUUAGAAAGUUAGGGGUGAAAUCCCGGGGCUCAACCUCGGAACUGCCUCUAAAACUCCUAGUCUAGAGUUCGAGAGAGGUGAGUGGAAUUCCAAGUGUAGAGGUGAAAUUCGUAGAUAUUUGGAGGAACACCAGUGGCGAAGGCGGCUCACUGGCUCGAUACUGACGCUGAGGUGCGAAAGUGUGGGGAGCAAACAGGAUUAGAUACCCUGGUAG
RNAcentral lists this ribosomal RNA (649 nucleotides) under uncultured Roseovarius sp. RNAcentral's name for it is "bacterial SSU rRNA". It matches the Rfam family "Bacterial small subunit ribosomal RNA", at positions 109 to 793 of the family's 1533-position model. The record is from RNAcentral. Lineage: Bacteria; Pseudomonadati; Pseudomonadota; Alphaproteobacteria; Rhodobacterales; Roseobacteraceae.